CCCUUAGAUGUUCUGGGCCGCACGCGCGCUACACUGACGAAUGCAACGAGCUUAUAACCUUGGCCGAAAGGUCUGGGUAAUCUCCAAAUUUCGUCGUGAUGGGGAUAGAUUAUUGCAAUUAUUAAUCUUCAACGAGGAAUGCCUAGUAAGCGCAAGUCAUCAGCUUGCGUUGAUUACGUCCCUGCCCUUUGUACACACCGCCCGUCGCUCCUACCGAUUGAAUGGUCCGGUGAAGCGCUCGGACCGCGGCCUCUUGACGGUUCGCUGUCGAUUGGCUGUGGGAAGUUCGUUAAACCUUAUCAUUUAGAGGAAGUAAAANUCGUANCA
RNAcentral lists this ribosomal RNA (327 nucleotides) under uncultured eukaryote. RNAcentral's name for it is "partial 18S ribosomal RNA". It matches the Rfam family "Eukaryotic small subunit ribosomal RNA", at positions 1470 to 1796 of the family's 1831-position model. The record is from RNAcentral.